Molecule: ribosomal RNA, 474 nt
Filed under: uncultured bacterium
Lineage: Bacteria
Description: bacterial SSU rRNA
Rfam family: Bacterial small subunit ribosomal RNA
Source: RNAcentral
UGACAGUACUCUACGGGAGGCAGCAGUGGGGAAUAUUGCACAAUGGGGAAACCCUGAUGCAGCCAUGCCGCGUGUGUGAAGAAGGCCUUCGGGUUGUAAAGCACUUUCAGUAGGGAGGAAGGUAGUCGUAGUUAACACCUGCAUUAUUUGACGUUACCUACAGAAGAAGCACCGGCUAACUCCGUGCCAGCAGCCGCGGUAAUACGGAGGGUGCGAGCGUUAAUCGGAAUUACUGGGCGUAAAGCGCAUGCAGGCGGCCUGUUAAGUCAGAUGUGAAAGCCCGGGGCUUAACCUCGGAAUUGCAUUUGAAACUGGCAGGCUAGAGUCUUGUAGAGGGGGGUAGGAAUUUCAGGUGUAGCGGUGAAAUAGCGUAGAGAUCUGAAGGAAUACCAGUGGCGAAGGCGGCCCCCUGGACAAAGACUGACGCUCAGAUGCGAAAGCGUGGGGAGCAAACAGGAUUAGAUACCCUGGUAG